CCUACGGGAGGCAGCAGUAGGGAAUCUUCCGCAAUGGACGAAAGUCUGAUGGAGCAACGCCGCGUGAGCGAUGAAGGCCUUCGGGUCGUAAAGCUCUGUUGUUAGGGAAGAACAAGUACCGGAGUAACUGCCGGUACCUUGACGGUACCUAACCAGAAAGCCACGGCUAACUACGUGCCAGCAGCCGCGGUAAUACGUAGGUGGCAAGCGUUGUCCGGAAUUAUUGGGCGUAAAGCGCGCGCAGGCGGUCCUUUAAGUCUGAUGUGAAAGCCCACGGCUCAACCGUGGAGGGUCAUUGGAAACUGGGGGACUUGAGUGCAGAAGAGGAAAGCGGAAUUCCACGUGUAGCGGUGAAAUGCGUAGAGAUGUGGAGGAACACCAGUGGCGAAGGCGGCUUUCUGGUCUGUAACUGACGCUGAGGCGCGAAAGCGUGGGGAGCAAACAGGAUUAGAUACCCUGGUAGUCCACGCCGUAAACGAUGAGUGCUAAGUGUUAGGGGGUUUCCGCCCCUUAGUGCUGCAGCUAACGCAUUAAGCACUCCGCCUGGGGAGUACGGCCGCAAGGCUGAAACUCAAAGGAAUUGACGG
Molecule: ribosomal RNA, 587 nt
Filed under: uncultured bacterium
Lineage: Bacteria
Description: bacterial SSU rRNA
Rfam family: Bacterial small subunit ribosomal RNA
Source: RNAcentral